This is a microRNA precursor of Colobus angolensis palliatus, 83 nucleotides long. The record is from Ensembl. Lineage: Eukaryota; Metazoa; Chordata; Mammalia; Primates; Cercopithecidae.
GGGCGGUUUCUCCAUUUGUCUGUUUUGCUGAUGUACAUUCAACUCAUUCUCAGCAAAAUAAGCAGAUGGAAAAUUUGUCCAUC